GACGAACGCUGGCGGCGUGCUUAACACAUGCAAGUCGAACGGAAAGGCCCUUCGUGGUACUCUAUUGGCUAACGGGUGAGUAACACGUGGGUGAUCUUCCCUUCACUUUGGGAUUAGCCUGGGAAACUGUGUCUAAUACCGAAUAGGACCACGCGCUUCAUGGUUUUUGGUGGAAAGCUUUUGCGGUGUUGGAUGGGCCCGCUGCCUAUCAGCUUGUUGGUGGGGUAAUGGCCUACCAAGGCGACGACUGUUAGCCGGCCUGUGAGGGUGACCGGCCACAAUGGGACUGAGAGAAGGAGCAGAAGCAGACGGGAGGCAGCAGUGGGGAAUAUUGCAAAAUGGGAGCAAGCCUGAUGCAGAGACGCAGCGAGAGGGAUGACGGCCUUCGGGUAGAAAAAAAAUUUAACCAGGGACGAAGAGAAAGUGACGGUACCUGGAGAAGAAGCACCGGCGAACUACGUG
This 462-nucleotide ribosomal RNA is filed under the name uncultured bacterium. Its description in RNAcentral is "partial 16S ribosomal RNA". It matches the Rfam family "Bacterial small subunit ribosomal RNA", at positions 28 to 507 of the family's 1533-position model. The record is from RNAcentral.